AGCGAUCGCUGGCGGCAGGCUUAACACAUGCAAGCCGAGCGCCCCGCAAGGGGAUCGGCAGACGGGUGAGAACCACGUGGGAACGUACCCCUUGGUUCGGAACAACCCAGGGAAAAUUGGGCUAAUACCGGAUAAGUCCUCGCGGGGAAAGAUUUAUCGCCAAAGGAUCGGCCCGCAUCUGAUUAGCUCGUUGGUGUGGUAACGGCGCACCAAGGCGACGUUCAGCAGCUCGGCUGGGAGGCUGAUCAGCCACACUGGGACUGAGACACGGCACAGACUCCUACGGGAGGCAGCAGUGGGGAAUAUUGGACAAUGCGGGCAACCCUGAUCCAGCCAUGCCGCGUGAGUGAUGAAGGCCCUAGGGUUGUAAAGCUCUUUCGGUGGGGAAGAUAAUGACGGUACCCACAGAAGAAGGUCCGGCUAACUUCGUG
This 431-nucleotide ribosomal RNA is filed under the name uncultured bacterium. RNAcentral's name for it is "partial 16S ribosomal RNA". It matches the Rfam family "Bacterial small subunit ribosomal RNA", at positions 29 to 507 of the family's 1533-position model. The record is from RNAcentral.